This 620-nucleotide long non-coding RNA is filed under the name Homo sapiens (human). RNAcentral's name for it is "non-protein coding lnc-OR51B4-4:1". Lineage: Eukaryota; Metazoa; Chordata; Mammalia; Primates; Hominidae. The record is from RNAcentral.
ACGCAAAAAACGUUCUAUUUCAUCCUUACAAACAUCCCUAUCUUUGAUGCCUCUUUGUCUAGAUCUCUAUCCCCUCCUGUUUUCUCUACGUUAUUUAUAUGGGUAUCAUCACCAUCCUGGACAACAUCAGGACAGAUAUCCCUCACCAAGCCAAUGUUCCUCUCUAUGUUGGCUCAAAUGUCCUUGAACUUUCCUUUCACCACCCUUUCCACAGUCAAAAGGAUAUUGUAGUUUAAUGCCUCAGAGUUCAGCUUUUAAGCUUCUGACAAAUUAUUCUUCCUCUUUAGGUUCUCCUUUAUGGAAUCUUCUGUACUGAUGGCCAUGUCCUUUAACUACUAUGUAGAUAUCUGCUACUACCUGUAUUAUGCCUCUACCUUUAUUAGCAGAGUUAUCUGUACUGUUGGCAUGACAAUCAUUUGUUAAUAUGACUUGCCUUUCCUUUUUCUGCUAUUCUUGAUCAAAUGGCUCCUCUUUCUUGCUCCUCUCAUUUCUCCUGCCUUCACUUGGACGUGCUUCACGUAGUCUGUGCUUAUGACUGGAUUAAAAAUUGAUAUGGACUUAUCCUAAUGUUGUUCGUCAUAAUAUGGGUUUUAUGGUCCAUUAUUAUUUCCUAUGCAUUG